CCUACGGGAGGCAGCAGUGGGGGAUAUCGCACAAUGGGGGAAACCCUGAUGCAGCGACGCUGCGUGUGGGAAGACGGUCCUCUGGAUUGUAAACCACUGUCCCCAGGGAUGAAGAUGACGGCACCUGGGGAGGCAGCUCCGGCUAACUACGUGACAGCAGCCGCGGUCAUACGUAGGGAGUGAGCGUUGUCCGGAAUUACUGGGUGUAAAGGGAGCGUAGGUGGGACUGCCAGUUGGGUGUCAAGUCUACCGGCUCAACCGGUAGCCGCACUCAAAACUGCAGUUCUUGAGUGAAGUAGAGGCAGGCGGGAUUCCUAGUGUAGCGGUGAAAUGCGUAGAUAUUAGGAGGAACACCAGUGGCGAAGGCGGCCUGCUGGGCUGUUACUGACGCUGAGGCUCGAAAGUGUGGGGAGCAAACAGGAUUAGAUACCCCUGUAGUC
Molecule: ribosomal RNA, 440 nt
Filed under: uncultured bacterium
Lineage: Bacteria
Description: partial 16S ribosomal RNA
Rfam family: Bacterial small subunit ribosomal RNA
Source: RNAcentral